RNAcentral lists this transfer RNA (73 nucleotides) under Candidatus Dojkabacteria bacterium. RNAcentral's name for it is "tRNA-Thr". It matches the Rfam family "tRNA". Rfam says of the family: Transfer RNA (tRNA) molecules are approximately 80 nucleotides in length. Their secondary structure includes four short double-helical elements and three loops (D, anti-codon, and T loops). The record is from RNAcentral.
GCUGGAAUAGCUCAGUUGGCAGAGCACACCCAUGGUAAGGGUGGGGUCCAGAGUUCGAAUCUCUGUUCCAGCU